GCGACGUAGCAUCUUGCCCGACAGUGGCGCUCCUCAUCGUGGGACCUUAAUGCUGGCAACUGCGGGGUCGCAGUGGAAUAAAGGGGUUUUCAGAAUCAGCAAUAAAAAUCCACCUGCUUCCGGAGCUGGAGCUAAUCCCUUUUGGACAAAGCGGACAACAAAGACAUCCAUCAACCCUGGACAAGAUCUACUUAUUGCUAGUUCAUCUCUGUUUUCUGGCUUGGCCUGUUUAGGUUUUUUUUUAAUGAUAUUUUUUUUUUCUAAUUUCUGGAUUCCUUGCUGCAGCAGUACUUGUUUUUGUUCGAUUAGUUAAUGAAACACUUAUUUUGAAUCUUCAUCUUUCUGGCUCUGGGGUUAUAAUCUGCAACUGGACCUUAAGUAUGAUUUUCCUUCUGUGACAAAUCAAAUUGAGCUAUAAAAAGAUAUGUUAAAAAAUUUCACUGGACCUU
Melanotaenia boesemani (Boeseman's rainbowfish) is the source of this 449-nucleotide long non-coding RNA. RefSeq lists it as uncharacterized. The record is from RefSeq and is a predicted model, not a curated record. NCBI's taxonomy places the organism in Eukaryota, Metazoa, Chordata, Actinopteri, Atheriniformes, Melanotaeniidae. The transcript has 3 exons.